RNAcentral lists this ribosomal RNA (556 nucleotides) under uncultured bacterium. Its description in RNAcentral is "bacterial SSU rRNA". It matches the Rfam family "Bacterial small subunit ribosomal RNA", at positions 119 to 674 of the family's 1533-position model. The record is from RNAcentral.
GAAUUACAUGCCCUUCAGUGGGGAAUAGCCCAGGGAAACUUGGAUUAAUACCCCAUGGUAUCGCAAGAUUAAAGGUGGCCGCAAGGCUGUCGCUGAAGGAUUGGUUCGCGCCCUAUCAGCUUGUUGGUGAGGUAACGGCUCACCAAGGCUACGACGGGUACCUGGUCUGAGAGGACGAUCAGGCACACUGGAACUGAGACACGGUCCAGACACCUACGGGUGGCAGCAGUCGAGAAUAAUUCACAAUGGGGGCAACCCUGAUGGUGCAACGCCGCGUGGAGGAUGACGGUCUUCGGAUUGUAAACUCCUGUCAUCUGGGAGUAAGACCUGGCUGUGAAUAGCAGACAGGGUUGAUAGUACCAGAAGAGGAAGGGACGGCUAACUUCGUGCCAGCAGCCGCGGUAAUACGAAGGUCCCGAGCGUUGUUCGGAAUCACUGGGCGUAAAGGGAGUGUAGGCGGCGUGGUAAGUCAGAUGCGAAAUCCCGGGGCUCAACCCCGGAACUGCAUCCGAUACUGCCGUGCUAGAGGAUUGGAGAGGUAGCUGGAAUUCUUGGU